UACGGGGGGGGCAAGCGUUGUUCGGAAUUAUUGGGCGUAAAGCGUAUGUAGGCGGCUAGGUAAGUCAGGCGUGCAAGCCCGUGGCUCAACCACGGAAUUGCGUUUGAAACUGCUUAGCUUGAGUACAGGAGAGGAAAGCGGAAUUCCCAGUGUAGCGGUGAAAUGCAUUGAUAUUGGGAAGAACAUCUGUGGCGAAGGCGGCUUUCUGGUCUGUUACUGACGCUGAGAUACGAAAGCCAGGGGAGCAAAGGGG
Molecule: ribosomal RNA, 253 nt
Filed under: uncultured bacterium
Lineage: Bacteria
Description: partial 16S ribosomal RNA
Rfam family: Bacterial small subunit ribosomal RNA
Source: RNAcentral